This is a long non-coding RNA of Megalobrama amblycephala (Wuchang bream), 1093 nucleotides long. RefSeq lists it as uncharacterized. The transcript has 3 exons. The record is from RefSeq and is a predicted model, not a curated record. Lineage: Eukaryota; Metazoa; Chordata; Actinopteri; Cypriniformes; Xenocyprididae.
UGUUUAAUGCAAAUCACUAGCUGCAGGCACGUACUCACUCAUUUAGAAUCAUCUGGAUUCAUCAACAUUAGAACAAGAGAAAGAACAAAUUUAUGUGCGUUACACACCUGCUGUGAAUCCGACGGGUUUGUACUGCAGCAUGAGAAGUUCUUCUGCACACAUGAAUUUGUAAAUUGUACAUAAUUAUUAGCUAUGACUUAUUCAUCAAGCCUAUCUCGGGUGUCUGGAAACUUCUUUAGGUUUUCCCAUUAGUUAAUAAAUGAUGAGCUGAAGUUUUGUGAAGUGCCCCUCAGGGUCUGUGUGAUGCUGUGGCCUCAGGAUCUCUACUUAGUGGACUACCAAGACAGAAUGUUCUUAAAGGGAGAAGUCCUGCCCGACCAUUCUGCGCCAAACUGCUUCACAAAUGAGGGGCUUUUCAACGCUGGAUUUUCAAAAAGGUUGAUUCUGAAAGAUGGGUCAAUAGCAAAACGCUUUGUGCGCAAACUUCAGAUCGAGACAAAUCACGCCCUAUUGGCCCACGCCACCCACCUGGUCCCCGUGUUCCUGUGACAUCAUUGAGCAGCUGUCCAAUACUAUACAAUUGGUGCCCCCGUGGCAUAAAAGUGGAGAGUAGACGGCACUCGCGAGGCCCUGUCUGCAAAUGUGUGUUCCUCCCAAAUUAAUGUUACUCCCCUUUACCCCUUGACUGACCACAACAGGGGUCAUAACAAUGAUUUUUAAAGCAUCUGCAUUUAUUGAUUAUCAUGGACAGCUGAUGGAAAACAAGUUUUUCUCUUUACCAAAAUGUUUUAAGUCAUCUUAGUUUUAAUGUAUGAUAAUAACCCCAUUUUAUGCAUAUAAUUCAAGAUCUGACACUAAAUAACAGGCACACACACGUGUUAAACGCAUUUAACAAAAUUAAACUCACAUGCAAACAUUGAUGUUUUUAAGCCAGUCUCUGUAACCCGACUCUCAUUACUGUACUGUUUAUGCUGAUUAAAUUUCAGAACGUGUCGUUUCCGUGCUGACAUGAACACUCUUAUUAAGACAAAUAUUUCCACCCAGUAGACCUGGGAAUUGAGAGGGAAAGGAAAAGAACAUUUGAAACUGAAAU